RNAcentral lists this ribosomal RNA (377 nucleotides) under uncultured bacterium. Its description in RNAcentral is "bacterial SSU rRNA". It matches the Rfam family "Bacterial small subunit ribosomal RNA", at positions 523 to 898 of the family's 1533-position model. The record is from RNAcentral.
AUACGAAGGUGGCAAGCGUUGUUCGGAAUUACUGGGCUUAAAGCGCACGCAGGCGGGACUGUAAGUGUCUUGUGAAAUUCCUCGGCUUACCCGGGGAACUGCAGGGCAUACUGCUGUCCUUGAGACAGGCAGGGGUGCGUGGAACUCUAGGUGGAGCGGUGAAAUGCGUAGAUAUCUAGAGGAACGCCGGUGGUGAAAACGGCGCACUAGGCCUGCUCUGACGCUCAGGUGCGAAAGCGUGGGGAGCGAACAGGAUUAGAUACCCUGGUAGUCCACGCCGUAAACGAUGUCUACUAGGUCGCGGUGGUUCUGACGCCGGCGCGGCCGCAGCAAAAGCAUUAAGUAGACCGCCUGGGGAGUACGGUCGCAAGGCUAAA